Drosophila melanogaster (fruit fly) is the source of this 401-nucleotide non-coding RNA. Lineage: Eukaryota; Metazoa; Arthropoda; Insecta; Diptera; Drosophilidae. The record is from Ensembl.
UGCUUAGAUAAAGCCGGGUCAAUGGCCAUCAGGCGAAGUUGGUCGAACUUUACAUGUUCUCUGCAGCCGUACAUCAUAAUUACCCGAAUGCUACUGCAGUCAUAGAACUCUCGGCUGGUUGAGUGCAAAUCAAAUCACAAAUCAAAGUGCCCAAAAACCCCAACAUACAAAUUUAGUUUCGGGGAAAAUGAGAUGAUGAUGGCCCGAGCAUGGAAAUGGACAACUAGGAUGGUGGCCAAAACCCAAAUCCGAACUGAAUGAACCGGCGACAUGUUUGUAAUUAGUACUUCGCCAUUGGCACUCUGAUGGAAUGUCCUAUGUCCUUUGGACAUCACAAAUUUGAAGAGAGUUCGACUCCACACGUCUUUCACUGCUGGGAGGCGAAAUAUGUGGGUUGCCUU